AAACUCAAAGGAAUUGACGGGGAGCACCACAACGGGUGGAGCUUGCGGUUUAAUUGGAUUCAACGCCGGAAAUCUUACCGGGACCGACAGCAAUAUGAAGGCCAGGCUGAAGACUUUGCCGGAUUAGCUGAGAGGUGGUGCAUGGCCGUCGUCAGUUCGUACUGUGAAGCAUCCUGUUAAGUCAGGCAACGAGCGAGACCCACGCCCACAGUUGCCAGCGUACUCUCUGGAGUGACGGGUACACUGUGGGACCGCCGCUGCUAAAGCGGAGGAAGGAAUGGGCAACGGUAGGUCAGUAUGCCCCGAAUAUCCCGGGCUACACGCGAGCUACAAUGGUUGGUACAAUGGGUAUCCACCCCGAAAGGGGACGGGAAUCUCCUAAAACCAAUCUUAGUUCGGAUUGAGGGCUGCAACUCGCCCUCAUGAAGCUGGAAUCCGUAAUAAUCGCGUUUCAACAGAACGCGGUGAAUACGUCCCUGCUCCUU
This 485-nucleotide ribosomal RNA is filed under the name uncultured Methanosaeta sp. RNAcentral describes it as "bacterial SSU rRNA". It matches the Rfam family "Archaeal small subunit ribosomal RNA", at positions 852 to 1338 of the family's 1478-position model. The record is from RNAcentral. Lineage: Archaea; Methanobacteriati; Methanobacteriota; Methanomicrobia; Methanotrichales; Methanotrichaceae.